UACGUAGGGCGCGAGCGUUGUCCGGAAUUAUUGGGCGUAAAGAGCUCGUAGGCGGUUCACUAAGUCGGGUGUGAAACCUCCAGGCUCAACCUGGAGACGCCACCUGAUACUGGUGUGACUAGAGUCCGGUAGGGGAGUGUGGAACUCCUGGUGUAGCGGUGAAAUGCGCAGAUAUCAGGAAGAACACCAGCGGCGAAGGCGGCACUCUGGGCCGGUACUGACGCUGAGGAGCGAAAGCGUGGGGAGCAAACAGG
This 254-nucleotide ribosomal RNA is filed under the name uncultured bacterium. Its description in RNAcentral is "partial 16S ribosomal RNA". It matches the Rfam family "Bacterial small subunit ribosomal RNA", at positions 524 to 776 of the family's 1533-position model. The record is from RNAcentral.